This is a long non-coding RNA of Cucurbita maxima (winter squash), 407 nucleotides long. RefSeq lists it as uncharacterized. The transcript is spliced from 2 exons. Lineage: Eukaryota; Viridiplantae; Streptophyta; Magnoliopsida; Cucurbitales; Cucurbitaceae. The record is from RefSeq and is a predicted model, not a curated record.
GCAUUUCGAGGCACUUUUUAGGAAACAUUGUGAUUGAUCCAAUAAGUAAAGCAAAGACCUAUUUUUGGGUUUAUUUUUGUGACUGAAUUUCAUGCACUUACACUGUAUGAUAAUUGUUCCAAAUGAUGGUGUAAUCAUGGUACUUCAAGCUGGGAUCAAACCACAGCUCGAUGUCUAUCUCGUCGUGAGAAUGGGGAUAAACAUCUGCAUUCGACAACUGAACGCGGCGUUCAUCUCGUUAGCUAUGCAUCAAACUGGUAAGCCAAACCGAGAACAGUAGAGAGAAAAAAAGAACUUACAUAAAAAGCCACCACAACCCCUGAAGUGAGACCUGAUGGAAGCUUAAUUGAAGCACUGAAGAAUCCAUAAUGAUAUUUGUUUCUGGAGACCAGACCAGCACCUCCAAA